Molecule: long non-coding RNA, 1968 nt
Filed under: Cyanistes caeruleus (blue tit)
Lineage: Eukaryota; Metazoa; Chordata; Aves; Passeriformes; Paridae
Description: lncRNA (ENSCCEG00000005937.1)
Source: RNAcentral
UGAGAGAAGGCGGGGUCGCGCCCAUAUAAGGCGAGGAGGGGGGCGGGGUUUAUGCUAAUGAGGGGGGUUUGAUUGAUGGGGAGGCCACGCCCAAAGCGGGGGGAGGGGCGGCCUUUUGGGACCCCCCAAAAAUUCCCGAAAAAUCCCAAAAAUUCCCAAAAUUGCCCCAAAUUCCCCCAAAUUCCGGCCCAGGGUUUAAUUUAGGGAUCCCAAAACCCCCAAAUAUCCCAAAAUUGCCCCAAAAUUCCAUCAAAUCCCCCCAAAAAUCCCCAAAAUUCCCAAAAAAUUCCCCAAAAUUCCCCUGAAAAAUUCCCAAAAAAACCCCAAAAAAGGCCCCAAAAAUUCCCAAAAUUCACCCAAAAAUUCCAAAAAAAUCCCCCAAAAAUUCCCCCCAAAAAUCCCAAAAAUUUUCAAAAAAUCCCCAAAAAAUCCCCCAAAAAAUCCCAAAAAAUUCCCAAAAAAAUCCCAAAGAUUCCCCUAAAAAAAUCCAAGAAUUCCCAAAAAAUUCCCCAAAAAUUCCCCAAAAAAAUCCCAAAAAAUUCCCCAAAAAUUCCCCAAAAAAUCCCCAAAAAUUCCCAAAAAAUUCACCAAAAAAUCCCCAAAAGUUUCCAAAAAAAUCCCCAAAAAAUCUUAAAAAUUUCCCCAAAAAUCCCCCAAAAAAUUCCCAAAAAAAUCCCAAAAAUUCCCCAAAAAAUCCCCAAAAAUCCCCAAAAAAAUCCCCAAAAAUUCCCCAAAAAUUCCCCAAAUUUUCCCAAAAUUCCCUCCCCGAAAUUCCCGGAUUUUUUUUCCCGCCAUUUUUUUCCAUCCUGGCCCCUCCCCCGCUCACCUGGGCUCCUCGGGGGGUCCCCGGCGCUGCCCCUCCCCCUCCUGCGGAACCAACCAAAAACCGGUCACGGGGGGGGGGGGGGNNNNNNNNNNNNNNNNNNNNCCUCCAGGUGAGGACGAUUAAAGGGGGGGAAGGGAAAAUUUUGAGGGGAAAUUUGGGGAAAUUUUUUGGAAUUUUGGGGGAUUUUUUGGGAAUUUUUUGGGGAAUUUUUGGGGAUUUUUGGGGAAUUUUGGGGGAAUUUUUUCGGAACAUUUGGGGAAUUUUUGGGAAUUUUUUGGGAAUUUUUUGGGAAUUUUGGGGGAUUUUUGGGGGAAUUUUUGGGAAUUUUUUGGGAGAAUUUUUGGAAUUUUGGGGGAAUUUUUUGCGGAAUUUUUGGGAAACUUUGGGGGAAUUUUUGGGAUUUUUUUUUGAAUUCUUGGGAAAUUUUUGGGGAUUUUUGGGAAUUUUUUGGAAUUUUUGGGGGAAUUUUUUGGGAAUUUUUCGGAGAAUUUUUGGGGAUAUUUGGGGGAAUUUUAAGGAUUUUUUUGGGAAUUUUGGGGAAUUUUUGGGGAUUUUUUGGGAAUUUUUUGGGGAAUUUUUGGGGAUUUUGGGGAAUUUUUUGGGGAAUUUUUGGGGAAUUCUUGGGAAUUAUUGGGGAUUUUUUGGGGGAUUUUUGGGAAUUUUUGGGGGAAUUUUGGGGGCAUUUUUGCUAAUUUUUUUGGAAUUUUUGGGGAAUUUUUGACAAAAUUUUUGGGGGAUUUCUGGGGAAUUUUGGGGAAUUUUUUGGAGAAUUUUUUGGGAUUUUUUGGGAAAUUUUGUGGAUUUUUUUGGGGAUUUUUUGGGAAAUUUUUGGGGAAUUUUGGGGGAAUUUUGGAAAAUUUUGGGGGGAAAUUUGGGGAUUUUUUUUGGAAUUUUUGGAAUUUUUGGGGGAUUUUUGGGGAAAUUUUCUGGGAAUUUUUAGAGAAUUUUUGGGGAAUUUUGGGAGGAAUUUUGGGGAUCUUGCGGGGAAAUUUUGGCAUUUUUGGGGCAUUUUUUGGGAAAUUUGGGGAAUUUUGGGAGUUCUUGGAAACUUCCGGAACUUUUGGGGAGAAUUUGAGGAAUUUUGGGGACAAAUUUUGGGAUUUUUUCAGGGAAAAAUCCCCCCCCCCGGGCCCCUCCUCGCC